RNAcentral lists this unclassified non-coding RNA (7588 nucleotides) under Owenia fusiformis. RNAcentral describes it as "misc RNA OFUS_LOCUS23592". Lineage: Eukaryota; Metazoa; Annelida; Polychaeta; Sabellida; Oweniidae. The record is from RNAcentral.
UAAUCUAACUCUAAACAAAAACAUUAGGCCCACUUAUAGAGAGGAGAGAGCAACCUGCUACAGUAUCUCUGACUGAGCUCGGUGAGAUUUAGGUAACGAGGUUGCAAGAUCGCUGGUUCAUGGAUCAUUCAUAUCGCAGUACAUAAGGUACAUUGGUUUGCAUAUGUGGUAUACCUGGACACAUACUUACAACGGAAUGAAAUGGAACAUUAUAAAGCAAUGGUUAUAAAAUACGAUUUACGUUCAAAAUAUGGUUGAACGCUACACACCUGAAGAUGAUAAGACGUACGGGUAAACGACCGAGAAACGCUAACAUACAACAUGGCGCAACGAUAAUCCAACAUCAACUGAGCUGAGGAUUUGAUUUCCCUGUGGCAAAAUCUAAAUCGGAUUAAGAUUAUUCAAAUAAGGCGAUAAGAACGCUAUGUGAUAUCCAAGAUAGCGCAAUUCCAUAAUGUACCAAUUAACGUAGAAAAAAUACAUAACUCAGCAGGAUUAGACGGAUAUUUUGUUACACUUUGGGCGAAAAUAGCUUACGCCGUCGAGAUGAACUGAACAUGUUUUUGUAAAUCAGAGGUAGACGUCGAUGGAAUUUACCGGACUUGACUCUUGACCUUAUUUAAUAGAAACUUGGAAUCUGUUGAUAAGUAACACAAGAAAUAGACACCUUCGCGCAAUAAUUAUUAAAGGUGCUGUAAUUAACGGAUCGUGGUUAUCAGGAGUUGGUACAGCUUGUUAUUAAUAGACACUGGCGUUGUCGGCAAGGUGCUUCUAAACAUUUCCUUGUUCGUUAUCAACACGGGACGUUAUGAGGAAUUGCCCUAAUUACGAUUACGUCACUGUCACACCUGGAUCUACAUAAUUUAUCCGAACGUGCUUCAUUCACUAGAGUUUAAUCAACAUUCCGACGGAUGGAAGUUAUUCUUGCAUAUAUAGUAUCAGUAUCAGUGUGAUAAUCUUGAUAUUCAACAGUAACUAGCAGUUGAAUUCUAAGAUGGCAAGUGGAAAGAAAGCCCUGUUGCAGGAUAUUUCCGACCAAUUCCUGCAAUGUAAAAUAUGUUUCGAGGAUUACAAAUCGCCAAAGACUUUAGAAUGCUUACAUACUUUUUGCAGCCAUUGCUUGGAUAAGCACGCUGAUUCGGAGUAUGAACGAUCGUACCGUUAUAUGGUGUACGGACGAUCCGUUACUUGCCCGAUAUGUCGCAAGCGGACGGAACUACCGUCCGGGGGGAUCAGGAGACUUCCGGACAAUUUCCUCGUCACUAACCUCAAUGACGUCAUCAACAGGGUAAAACCGAGCAAAGUACCGCAAUGCGAAAUUUGUAAGAACUUUAAGAAAACUACUGUAGACGCUUGUUCAAAAUGCUUAGACUGUGCUAAACUACUUUGCAAGUCAUGUGUGGAACAGCACAGGAAAACUAAAGUGACUCAAGAUCACAGUCUUUUCGAUGUCCAGGUCGAGAAAGACAUCGAAUGUAAGGUACACCCAGAAGAAUGCGUUCGGUUUUAUUGUGAACCAUGCGAAACGUGUGUCUGUGUGUUAUGCACCUUCCAAGAGCACAAAGACCACGAACUCUCCUCUUUCACUGAAGGAAUCUCCAAAAAUCGGAAGAGCCUUGAAAAUCUGUCGGUCGUCUGUCAAGAUAGGAUCAACAAGGUGAAAUCUCAUUUGGAUUUGAUCAAUAAAUGCGAGUUUAACAUUAAAGAGGUGGAAGAUAAAAUUCGGGACGUUUCGUUAAGUUUGGUGCAAGCAAUACGAAACAAUCAGAAAAACAUGGUUGAAAAUUUACGCAAUAUUUAUGGUCCGACCACUUUGGAAUAUCUUCAACACAAGGAGGGUAUCAAAGACAAUCUCGAAAACCUCCAAAGUACUGUGAAUCUCACGAAUAUCAUCCUUAAGGAAAAGAGCGUCGAAGUGUUACUUUUGAAAAAGAAUCUUGAAGAAAAGGCCAAGGGACUCAUUAAUGCUGAAAUAAUUGAACCCCCUGAUGGCAUCGAAAAACAUGUCAGGUUUAUUCCUGGUUCGGUAGCUCUAGGAUUUAUUGACACUGGUCAGAAUAAGGAUAGUGAAACUGGUGAUGUAGGAAAUGAGAACAAACGGGAACAUUUUAAAAUAUCGAACUUUACCGAAUUGCAGACCCAAACGGAACGAAUUGAAACUUUUGAAAAAGAUACCACAAUGUGUAAACUUUGCAUCGACUACUGCAUUGAUAUGGAUACCCAAACUGACAUCGUUUCUAAGAUUCACAAAGAGACAGAAACUCCAGUUGCCAUGACGAAGGGGAAGUGCACAUCAACAGAACCUCCUAGUGUCAGUCACAAGGGAUGCACAACCGACGAGAAAUCCUUUUCAAAAGCAAAAACUCAAACGGACGUUGUUGAAAUGAUAGAUAAAGAUGUCGCUACAAAUAGGGUUACCAAGAAGGACAUGGAGGUCGGGACUCCGUGUAUAAGAACUAUUAAUAGAGGUACGAUACCAUAUAGGGCUGAAAAUUACAGGGACAAGAAGUCGAUGACCCCAGCGGAAUGGAUGGAACACAAACCAACCCUACGAGAAAUAAAAUCACGCAAUUUACCAGAGGUAACUAUAGAAACAAACGCUGUCCCGAUGGUUGCCAAAGAGACAACAACGACGCAAAUACCAACUACUGAGAUGUCAACGUCGACAUAUGGAGUACAGACUGUAGAAAUGUCUACCACCAUGGAGGGAGAUGAAAUUGUAAAGGUUACGCAAUCUAAACCUAUAAAAUCCAAAAUGGUGGAUGGAUCAACUUUAACGCACGUGCCAACGGAAGAUGCCAUGUCUAAUACAACUACAAUCAAAACAAAAACAACAGGUACAAAGAUGACAAUAUCAUUGAAAGAUACUGGAGUCAAUCCAGACCCUACAAUCAAGUAUGUUGUUGUUCCAGACAAGACUGACACUGGAACCAUGCCUGACCUGUGUAUCAUUGAGAGUCCAACUAAAGCUAGAUCAAAUGUGCCAUUAAUUAAAACAUGUGAAAUGUCCGUAAUGACUGAUCCCAUAACCAUGGUAACAAAAUCCAAAAAUGAUCUAGAGUCAGGUACCUUAUCUAUUAAACCUCCUGUUGCUACAACCAAUGCUUCCACUAUUACUGACUCUGGUCUCACUUAUGCUAACCUUGUCUUGACUGGAAGCAAGAAAAAACCAACCAAGGUUGCUACCGUUGAUAAGGGCUCCAACACGUAUAGAAUCAAAGAACCAGCAAAACAAAUCACUGUUGAUACAUCGACUGAAACUGAUACUCCUAACUACACAACUACUGCGUCUGACGCCAUCAAAGAUGUCAUGAUAAAUAAGAAAUCGAAUACGACCAGAAUAACUUCGGAAACGAAAUCAAUGAACACCAUUAGUCCUCGGUCUUUCACAAAGCAGACAAAUACCACAAAGUCUGUAAUGAAAGAACAAGGUAACAUGACAGAUAGAGGUACAACAGUAGAUGAAUUUACCUCCACUGAAUCACCAUGUACGCAAGAAGUUGGAGUUCAUGUUGUACCAGCAACUAUUGUCACUAAGGACCGAGGAACUGAUUCAAAGCGAGUAUAUAUGGUUGAGCGACGUGUUGGAACUGAACCUUUGGACUCAAAAACAUAUGCUGUUGGCACCUCUACUGAUAUGAUUGACAUGAAAACUAAACAAACGCUUACUACACCUCCUAGUACUCGAGACAGAAGUGUAUGUACGCCUAAAGUUGAAAUGGCGACCAUAGGAACGAAACCAUUUAGGUUCCCGAAACCAGACAAGUAUACCAUGACGACCAACGUACCAACCGUUUCCAAGGGAACAACAACCAUGACUAUGAAAACUAAAAAAUCAACAGACGCGGGGGUGGAUCCGAUACCUUUAGAAACCCACUCUAAGGAAACAGAAACGUACGUGCCAACUAUGGAUGAAGGAACAUCGACUGGUGUCUUACUCAUGACCAACAAAAAUGUAGGGACGGAUACCCAACAAUCAUGUGACGCCAUGGUUGGUACAUCGUAUAUUCUUGCCAUCAAAUGGGCAGAGAGGCUGCGCCAGAAAGCCUUGACGAGUACCAGAGGAACAUGCACACCACAGGUGAAGAAAGCAACACAUGAAACAAAUACUCCGGUGAAAAAAACAUCCAACACUGAGACCACAACUAACACAAACGUGCAUACUUCAGAUACCGGAACAUCUACGCCCCGGGUACCAAAAGUGACAACGAGCCAAACCAAUACCCCGACCAUAGUCCAGACUACGAAAGAGACAACCACCAAUAAGGGGAUGAAUACAAAAAACACCUCCACAAGCAUGGUUCCGGUAAAGCUUCUUAGUAGAAAGACCAACACACCAAGCAGAGAUCAUAUCACUAAGUUCACUACAACCACUGAUCUGGUUAGCCUCCAAACAACGGCAAUAGGGGAUAAUUCAGUCUUCAAUAGUGGGGUAGAUAAAUACGUCGGCACACUUCCUGCUGAUGUAAAAUCACAAAUAACAAGCACUGAUGGAGUAAUCCGGCAGAACAGUCAAGAAACAUGGACUGAGACGGUAAAUGUGGUCAGCCAGGGCUCAAAUACAAGCGUUCCUCAUCAACCCAGUAAAGAGACAACAACAAACAGUAGUAUGCGCACACAUGAACGUGCUAUCGGGUGUGGUAACCAGGCAAAUGAGUUCAAGGUUGACGUGGCAACUGAUGCGGUUACCAUAGCAACAAGUGAUGUAAGUACAAGAACAAUAAAAGCACUAACGGAAAGCAAAUCAGUUGAGACUAUACAGCGUGAAACAAAUGAUCAACACACAAAUACACACCCAGUUGCUAAUAAUUCAAAAGAAACAACAACACAACAUCUUAUAGGACUGCAAACAUUAGGAACAUCUACUGGAGAAUCCAGUCGAGGAUUUUCAACUGAGAACUCUACAAUGACAAACACUAACGUUCAUGUUCAAAGUCUUGGUGUAGAAACAACACAGGGACAAUAUCUGGUGAACAAGCAAACAACAACUGAUCCAAAAACAAUGGUCGACCAGACUACGAGAACUAUCCCAGUAGUUACAGAAUCGAAAUCAACAGACACACAGCAGACUGUUAACGCCCAUCAAGGCACAAAUACCGAAAACCAAACGCCCUAUAAUUUUGUAUCACACACUAGUAUAGAUGAAUCCCACGGUUGUCAUGGUAACAAAAUGGUUGACAAGGAAACAUCUAUGGUAUCUAAGGAGAUGAUUGAACGUUCAACGACUACCCCACAUACAGUGACAACAGAUAUUGAGAUUGUUACUGUUCCCAUCGGUGAACAAGAUGCCGAGACAGCCACAGAUUCCGUCCCAACAUCUGAUAAAGCAAUAUUUGCAGGUGUUCGAAAACAAACAUCGAGCACUAUGACAACGCCGUACGAUUCAAAAGGAACCAAUCAUAAUUUAAAAUAUGAUAACAGCACGAUGACUGAUAUUACCGGAAAGAUAAGUCUAGGAACAAAUCCAGAUUUCAAAUUGAUAUCAAAGAAGGAGGAGUUCUGGGAGCCGAUGACUGUACAACAUGGGAACACACAGGCAGCUUCUUCGUCGUUCAUAAGCCAACUCCCGAAGACAGCUAAGUCCAUUGUAUGGAAGGUAGAUAGAGAGACGAUGACAAGAGCACGCAGAACAGCCACAAGCUCAACCCGGAUGACUCCUCCGCCAAGCACAGAGGAAAGAGGAGUCGGUACUGAAACAGUGCUCGUUGAGGGACGCAUCAAUGAAUGUAUAAGUAAACUCAAGAACGUCACGCAAAGAUUGAAUAAUCCUUCUCCUGUGUCUACUCCAGAACGAAAGGCCAUCCCUAUCACGAGAUCGCAAAGCAGUCAUACUCCAAGUGAUGAUGCGGUGGAGAAGGAUCUGGCAAUAACUCGUUGCAAUAGUGAAAAGGGUACUGCUUCGACACACAACACUGGCGAUAAUCCUCUGGUAGAUGUCCAAACGAAACAAGUGGAAAAUUCCCCUGAUGACGUAGAUGGACGACGCAAAGCUAGACAAAGAAGACCAGAUAUUACUGCUCUCUUGAAUCAAGAUUCCGAUAGCACCGCAACAGAUAGUUCCACGGCAAAAGCAAGUCAAUUUACGGAGGACGGUAUUCCAUUGCCGAGGGCGCUCCCAUCUAGACUGCAUGCGCAACAUGUACAGACGAAAACCUUACAGUCCUUUUCAAUGGACCCCGAUGAAUUGAAAAAGAUGAAGCUGGAAAGGAAACGUGAGAAAAAGAAGAAACGCCAUCAUCAUACUAGCGGGAAGUCACCAAGAGAUAAAUCAAUCUUGAAGGGUGGUCCAACUUCUGGUGAAACCAUCAAUCCAGAAUCUGCAAGUCCAAAAGAUGACAAGAUCGUAUCGCUUGGAAUUAGGAAAACAUCUUCCGAAAUUGAUGAAGAAAUGGAAACAAAGGAAUUUUCUAGUAAAAGUCCUCAACAGCCAUGGAGGCAAAGAGCAGCUCUGCAAAAACAGAAACCUGUCGAAGCACUCGACAAUGUGGGGACCAGUGAGCAGAAAACACCCAUAAAGCAUUUUAUUGAGGUUAAUGAGAGCCCAGUCAUCAAACCAUAUGAUGACAACUAUUUACAAAGAUCUACGGAUAACGCAAGUGCUUUGGAACCCACCUUGAAUGAGAUUCACCCUUGGAGAUCCACAAAGGCAAAACGUAAAGAUAAACGGCUGAGAAACAAGACUAUAGCAAUAGAAACGCCCAGCAGGAUCAGCUCUGAAGAGGACUUGUUCACGGGUAAAUUUCAAAGGGACUCCACAAAUACUAAAAGCACACCCACUGAUGAAUGCAUACCGUCCACUCAAACCAACAAACCCACUAGUGUUGCUCUAUCUGAUAAACAUAAAAAUGUGAAGAGCACGUCAAUAUGUUUCACCCCAGGUCCUGUCAAGGCUGUAUUCUUGUCCGACAGUUCACGUGAGUCUUCCUUUGAUUCACCAUACUCUCCUUUCGCAUCACAAGAUUCAAUUGAGACAAGAUACCCUUUUGGGACAAAGGAUUCUUCUUUUGGAGCGACAUCUUCGUUUGGGACAAAGGAUUCUUCGUUUAAUGCAAAGAGAACUUUGAAUAAAAGUAAAAAUAUGCAAUAAUUUCAUACGAUUUAGUCAAAUUCUAUUCCGAAGCUUCUCGCUUAUACGCCAAUGGUUCGUUUAUUUCGCAUGGGCGUUAACUAAUAUCCCUCGAAAAGAAGCCAUGGGCGCUUGAGCAUUCGUGAAGAACGCUAGUUGGUUUUACAGAGAAAAGGUUCUUUUUAACUUACCCUUAUUCAAACAAACACCCAUCUGGGUCUAUUGACGAGGAACUCCGGAAAGUAUGAAAUAUUGCAGUUUUUAUUUGAUAAAUCGAUUUACAAAUUCAGAGUCCCAACGUUUUCGAAUAACUAUUUGUUGCACAACACAAUGGUCCAUUCUGGAUGAUAGGUGCUAAUUAUGAUAAAUAAAAAGUUUUAAACAUAUAAUAGUACUUAUAAAAAAUAGCAUAAAAUAGUACUUUUAAAGAGUAAAUAGAUAUAUUUUAGAUUUUGUUGAAUACUAGAUAUAGUAGUGGAUUAAUAAAAUAAAGUGAUUAAUAAAAUAUAUUGUUCUGAAAUA